RNAcentral lists this long non-coding RNA (1113 nucleotides) under Gossypium barbadense (sea-island cotton). RNAcentral's name for it is "long non-coding RNA (GBAR_LNC014274)". The record is from RNAcentral. Lineage: Eukaryota; Viridiplantae; Streptophyta; Magnoliopsida; Malvales; Malvaceae.
GUGUUUCAACUUUCACAAAUUAAUUAAUUCCACCAUUACUUCAUCGUCUUGUUCCUCUUUAUCUCUUGCAUUUAGUUUACUUUAGAAAAGAAACCAGAGUUGGAGUGGUUGAUGGAUAUUGAACCUUUGUGGAGCAGAGGGGGCUAGUAAUUUAUUUCAUGGCAAUUACACGUGAAACUUCAAUCUCUCAAACCCCAACAAAAUCCCCUCAAUAUUAUGCCCUCCUUCUCCUCUUUCUUCUUCGCCUUCUGAUUAUGAUUUCUCCUCUCUUUGCAUAUCAUCGUCAGCCUUCACUUCAACAAUCUUCACCCACAAAUUUCAACUCUUUUCCUACUUCUGCGGCUACGCCUGCUGUGACGGAACCGCCUCAGUUCAAGGCAGCAGCUCACGAGGUGCCUAGUGGUCCAAAUCCCGAGUCCAACAAGUAAGCGAAGGCACCGCCGCUACAGGCAGGCAGGCAGGCUUCCAUUGUUCCUAUUCUCAAGGGUAUUUUUUUUAAAUGUUGCAUGAGUGACGUAUAUAAAGACUACAUAUAAUACGCAAGUAGUGGUGGUUAGGGAUUUAAAUUAUGAUUUACGAAUAUAUUUUCCGUCAUGUAAAUGUUAUUACUAUAGGAUAAAUUUUGGUGAUGGUAAAAAAGGCUGAAACCAUAGAACAUAUGGUACUCGUAGUAUGAGAUCGUUGCGGUUGCUAUUUAAAUAGCUGUUGGAACUAGGCAGUAAUGAAUAUUUUUCUUAAUUUGCACUUUGCCUCCAUGUUUUACACAUCGCAUGGAAAUAUACCCGUGAUUCGGGUGGACCAAGUUGGGUUUUGGUUGCAUGAAUUUGAGGGUUAAAAUUUUGUAAUCGUUUCUGUUUGAGUUUGGUGCAGUUUUAAAUUUAGAUAAUUUUGAGUUGAUAUAUUCGAUUAGCCAGUCAGGAUUUUUGUAUUUGAUUAGCCGAUCAAUGGUUUUAAGUUUGAGUUAUUUUGAGUUUUGUAAUUUGAGUUUGACACUUAGGUGGUUGUAAAUAUUCAUCAAUUUAAUGAAAUAAGAUUACAAGUUGAAUAUCUUGAGGCAUGUUGAGCACUAUCUUAAAGGAUAUUUUGCCGUAUAGUGUAUCCUCAAGAUUCAAC